CCUACGGGAGGCAGCAGUAGGGAAUAUUGGACAAUGGGUGCAAGCCUGAUCCAGCCAUGCCGCGUGCAGGAAGACGGCCUUCUGGGUUGUAAACUGCUUUUUUCAGGGGAUAAAAGGCCCGUGCGCGGGACAUUGAAAGUACCUGGAGAAUAAGCACCGGCUAACUCCGUGCCAGCAGCCGCGGUAAU
This 188-nucleotide ribosomal RNA is filed under the name uncultured bacterium. Its description in RNAcentral is "partial 16S rRNA". It matches the Rfam family "Bacterial small subunit ribosomal RNA", at positions 338 to 524 of the family's 1533-position model. The record is from RNAcentral.